AGAAUCAACGCUGGCGGCGUGCCUAACACAUGCAAGCCGAACGAGAAAGUGGAGCAAUCCAUGAGUAAAGUGGCGACCGGGUGAGUAACACGUGACUAACCUACCUUUGAGUGGGGGAUAACAUCGGGAAACCGAUGCUAAUACCGCAUAACAUCGCAAGAUCAAAGCAGCAAUGCGCUUAAAGAGGGGGUCGCGGCUGAUUAGCUAGUUGGCGGGUAACGCCCACAAGGCGAAGAUCGGUA
Molecule: ribosomal RNA, 242 nt
Filed under: uncultured bacterium
Lineage: Bacteria
Description: partial small subunit ribosomal RNA
Rfam family: Bacterial small subunit ribosomal RNA
Source: RNAcentral